UUUGGCGCGGUGCCUUCCGAGUUCCCUGGAACGGGACGCCUUAGAGGGUGAGAGCCCCGUACGGUCGGACACCAAGCCUCUGUAAAGCUCCCUCGACGAGUCGAGUUGUUUGGGAAUGCAGCUCUAAAUGGGAGGUAAAUUUCUUCUAAAGCUAAAUACCGGCCAGAGACCGAUAGCGCACAAGUAGAGUGAUCGAAAGAUGAAAAGCACUUUGAAAAGAGGGUUAAACAGCACGUGAAAUUGUUGAAAGGGAAGCGUUUAUGACCAGACCUCUGUCUGGCGGAUCAUCCGGGGUUCUCCCCGGUGCACUUCGCCCGGCUCAGGCCAGCAUCGGUUUCUGUGGGGGGAUAAAAGCUCGGGGAACGUAGCUCCCCCGGGAGUGUUAUAGCCCCUUGCAUAAUGCCCCCACGGGGACCGAGGUUCGCGCUCUGCAAGGAUGCUGGCGUAAUGGUUAUCAACGACCCGUCUUGAAACACGGACCAAGGAGUCGAACAUUUGUGCGAGUGUUAGGGUGUCAAACCCCUACGCGUAAUGAAAGUGAACGGAGGUGAGAGCCCUUACGGGUGCAUCAUCGACCGAUCCUGAAGUCUUCGGAUGGAUUUGAGUAAGAGCGUAACUGUUCGGACCCGAAAGAUGGUGAACUAUGCGUGGAUAGG
RNAcentral lists this ribosomal RNA (656 nucleotides) under Requienella seminuda. RNAcentral's name for it is "LSU rRNA". It matches the Rfam family "Eukaryotic large subunit ribosomal RNA", at positions 164 to 845 of the family's 3401-position model. Lineage: Eukaryota; Fungi; Ascomycota; Sordariomycetes; Xylariales; Requienellaceae. The record is from RNAcentral.